This 301-nucleotide ribosomal RNA is filed under the name uncultured bacterium. Its description in RNAcentral is "partial 16S ribosomal RNA". It matches the Rfam family "Bacterial small subunit ribosomal RNA", at positions 509 to 807 of the family's 1533-position model. The record is from RNAcentral.
CAGUAGCCGCGGGAAUACAGAGGGUGCGAGCGUUAAUCGGAUUUACUGGGCGUAAAGCGUGCGUAGGCGGCUAAUUGAGUCGGAUGUGAAAUCCCCGAGCUUAACUUGGGAAUUGCAUUCGAUACUGGUUAGCUAGAGUGUGGGAGAGGAUGGUAGAAUUCCAGGUGUAGCGGUGAAAUGCGUAGAGAUCUGGAGGAAUACCGAUGGCGAAGGCAGCCAUCUGGCCUAACACUGACGCUGAGGUGCGAAAGCGUGGGGAGCAAACAGGAUUAGAUACCCCUGUAGUCCCUGUCUCUUAUAC